RNAcentral lists this transfer RNA (85 nucleotides) under Clostridiales bacterium. RNAcentral's name for it is "tRNA-Leu". Lineage: Bacteria; Bacillati; Bacillota; Clostridia; Eubacteriales. The record is from RNAcentral.
GCAGGACUGGCGGAACAGGCAGACGCGCUAUCUUGAGGGGGUAGUGGGUAACACCGUAUGGGUUCAAGUCCCAUGUCCUGCACCA